CCUACGGGUGGCAGCAGUGAGGAAUAUUGGUCAAUGGACGCGAGUCUGAACCAGCCAAGUAGCGUGAAGGAUGACUGCCCUACGGGUUGUAAACUUCUUUUAUAAAGGAAUAAAGUGAGGCACGUGUGCCUUUUUGUCUGUACUUUAUGAAUAAGGAUCGGCUAACUCCGUGCCAUCAGCCGCUGUAAUACGGAGGAUCCGAACGUUAUCCGGAUUUAUUGGGUUUAAAGGGAGCGUAGAUGGGUUGUUAAGUCAGUUGUGAAAGUUUGCGGCUCAACCGUAAAAUUGCAAUUGAUACUGGCAGUCUUGAGUACAGUUGAGGUAGGCGGAAUUCGUGGUGUAGCGGUGAAAUGCUUAGAUAGCACGAAGAACCCCGAUUGCGAAGGCAGCUUACUAAACUGUGACUGACAUUGAUGCUCGAAAGUGUGGGUAUCAAACAGGAUUAGAUACCCGAGUAGUC
Molecule: ribosomal RNA, 460 nt
Filed under: uncultured bacterium
Lineage: Bacteria
Description: partial 16S ribosomal RNA
Rfam family: Bacterial small subunit ribosomal RNA
Source: RNAcentral